CCACGGGCGGCAGCAGUGGGGAAUAUUGGACAAUGGGCGAAAGCCUGAUCCAGCCAUGCCGCGUGUGUGAAGAAGGCCUUCGGGUUGUAAAGCAUUUUCAGUGGGGAAGAAAGCCUUGGGGCUAAUACCCUCGAGGAAGGACAUCACCCACAGAAGAAGCACCGGCUAACUCCGUGCCAGCAGCCGCGGUAAUACGGAGGGUGCGAGCGUUAAUCGGAAUUACUGGGCGUAAAGCGCGCGUAGGUGGUCUGAUAAGCCGGUUGUGAAAGCCCCGGGCUCAACCUGGGAACGGCAUCCGGAACUGUCAGGCUAGAGUGCAGGAGAGGAAGGUAGAAUUCCCGGUGUAGCGGUGAAAUGCGUAGAGAUCGGGAGGAAUACCAGUGGCGAAGGCGGCCUUCUGGACUGACACUGACGCUGAGGUGCGAAAGCGUGGGUAGCAAACAGGAUUAGAUACCCGGGUAGUC
This 464-nucleotide ribosomal RNA is filed under the name Vreelandella stevensii. RNAcentral describes it as "partial 16S ribosomal RNA". It matches the Rfam family "Bacterial small subunit ribosomal RNA", at positions 339 to 795 of the family's 1533-position model. The record is from RNAcentral. Lineage: Bacteria; Pseudomonadati; Pseudomonadota; Gammaproteobacteria; Oceanospirillales; Halomonadaceae.